Non-coding RNA from Salmo salar (Atlantic salmon), 54 nucleotides. The record is from Rfam. NCBI's taxonomy places the organism in Eukaryota, Metazoa, Chordata, Actinopteri, Salmoniformes, Salmonidae.
UGUAUGCACUACUGUAAGUCGCUCUAGAUAAGAGUGUCUGCUAAAUGACAAAUC